UCUCCGUUGGUGAACCAGCGGAGGGAUCACUACCGAGUUUACAACUCCCAAACCCCAUGUGAACCUUACCAAACGUUGCUUCGGCGGGAUGCCCCGGGCGCGGGCCGCAAGGCCUCAGCCCCGGAACCAGGCGCCCGCCGGAGGCCCAAACCAAACUCUUGUUUUUGUAGAAUCUUCUGAGUGGCCUUUUAGGCAAAAAAUGAAUCAAAACUUUCAACAACGGAUCUCUUGGUUCUG
Molecule: unclassified non-coding RNA, 237 nt
Filed under: plant metagenome
Description: partial contains small subunit ribosomal RNA, internal transcribed spacer 1, and 5.8S ribosomal RNA
Source: RNAcentral